GACGAAGGGGGCUAGCGUUGUUCGGAAUUACUGGGCGUAAAGCGCGUGUAGGCGGUUGUCCAAGUCGGGUGUGAAAGCCUUGAGCUCAACUCAAGAAAUGCACUCGAUACUGGGCGACUAGAGUGCCGGAGAGGAUAGUGGAAUUCCCAGUGUAGUGGUGAAAUACGUAGAGAUUGGGAAGAACACCAGUGGCGAAGGCGGCUAUCUGGACGGUUACUGACGCUAAGACGCGAAAGCGUGGGGAGCAAACAGG
Molecule: ribosomal RNA, 253 nt
Filed under: uncultured bacterium
Lineage: Bacteria
Description: partial 16S ribosomal RNA
Rfam family: Bacterial small subunit ribosomal RNA
Source: RNAcentral